RNAcentral lists this ribosomal RNA (3115 nucleotides) under Corynebacterium choanae. RNAcentral describes it as "Corynebacterium choanis 23S ribosomal RNA". It matches the Rfam family "Bacterial large subunit ribosomal RNA". Lineage: Bacteria; Bacillati; Actinomycetota; Actinomycetes; Mycobacteriales; Corynebacteriaceae. The record is from RNAcentral.
UCUGGUUUUUUAGGGCACACGGUGGAUGCCUUGGCAUGCUGAGCCGAUGAAGGACGUGGGAGGCUGCGUUAAGCCUCGGGGAGUUGUCAACCGAGCGUUGAUCCGAGGAUGUCCGAAUGGGGAAACCCGGCCAUGGUUAUGUGUGGUCACCUGCAACUGAAGACUUGUGUAUAGGUUGUGUGGAGGUAACGCGGGGAAGUGAAACAUCUCAGUACCCGUAGGAGAAGAAAACAAGAGUGAUUCCGCUAGUAGUGGCGAGCGAACGUGGAUUUUUGGCUAAACCGUGAUUGUGUGUGAUACCCGGCAGGGGUUGCAUGAUCCGGGGUUGUGGGGUUUAUAACGUCUGUUAUCUGCCGGUGACGGGUCUGUUGUUGGUGCUGUUAGUGGAAGUGGUGUGGAAACGCCUGCCGUAGAGGGUGAGAGUCCCGUACAUGAAAGCAGUUGCCUGAUGGAUGGUUAUUUGUCCCCGAGUAGCAGCGGGCUCGUGGAAUCUGCUGUGAAUCUGCCGGGACCACCCGGUAAGCCUGAAUACUCAGUGUGACCGAUAGCGGAUUGAGUACCGUGAGGGAAUGGUGAAAAGUACCCCGGGAGGGGAGUGAAAGAGUACCUGAAACCGUGUGUCUACAAUCCGUCAGAGCCCUUUUGGGGUGAUGGCGUGCCUUUUGAAGAAUGAGCCUGCGAGUCAGCGGCAUGUCGCGAGGUUAACCCGGUUUGUGGGGUAGUCGUAGCGAAAGCGAAUACUAACGAGUGUGUUGUAGUGGCAUGUCCUGGACCCGAAGCGGAGUGAUCUACCCAUGGCCAGUGUGAAGCAGCGGUAAGACGCUGUGGAGGCGCGAACCCACUUAGGUUGAAAACUGAGGGGAUGAGUUGUGGGUAGGGGUGAAAGGCCAAUCAAACUUCGUGAUAGCUGGUUCUCCCCGAAAUGCAUUUAGGUGCAGCGCUACGCGUGUUUGCCGGAGGUAGAGCUACUGGUUGGUUUAGCGGGACUAUCAUCUUAGCGACAUCAGCUAAACUCCGAAUGCCGGUGAAACGGUUCGUGUAGUAGUGAGACUGCGGGGGAUAAGCUUCGUAGUCGAGAGGGAAACAGCCCAGAUCGCCGGUUAAGGCCCCUAAGGGUGUGCUAAGUGGAAAAGGAUGUGGGAUCGCCCAGACAGCCAGGAGGUUGGCUUAGAAGCAGCCAUCCUUGAAAGAGUGCGUAAUAGCUCACUGGUCGAGUGGUUCCGCGCCGACAAUGUAGUGGGGCUCAAGCACACCGCCGAAACCGCGGCAGCAGCAUCUUGUUUAGGGUGUUGUUGGGUAGGGGAGCGUCGUAUGCUGCGUUGAAGCUGCCGGGUGACCGUGUGGUGGAGUGUAUACGAGUGAGAAUGCAGGCAUGAGUAGCGAAUGACGGGUGGAAAACCCGUCCGCCGGAUGAUCAAGGGUUCCUGGGUGAAGCUAAUCUUCCCAGGGUGAGUCGGGACCUAAGGCGAGGCCGACAGGCGUAGUCGAUGGAUAACGGGUUGAUAUUCCCGUACCCGUGUGUAUGCGAAAAGUGGUGACGCGAUGAUACUAACUGCCCGUCGCAUCCUUCACGUCAGUCUUUUUAGGCUGGUGGUUGUGGUGUGUUCGCGUAGGACCUGAGUUGUUGGUAGCCAAGUGAUGGGGUGACGCAGAGUGGUAGCCGAGCCAACGGUUGGAAGUGUUGGUGUAAGCGUGCAGCCCGUGGGAUAGGGAAAUCCGUUCCACAUUAUAUGGGUGAGGCGUGAUGCAGACCCACAUGUUGUGGGGGAGUCGGUGUGCCUGUGCUGUCGAGAAAAGCCUCUAGCGAGUGUAUGCAUGGCCCGUACCCCAAACCGACACAGGUGAUCAGGUAGAAGAUACUAAGGCGAUCGAGAGAACUGUGGUUAAGGAACUCGGCAAAAUGCCCCCGUAACUUCGGGAGAAGGGGGGCCGCUACGGGUGCCACUGCCUUGCGUGGUGGUUGCGUGUGGUGGCCGCAGAGAAUAGAGGGAAGCGACUGUUUACUAAAAACACAGGUCCGUGCGAAGACGAUAAGUCGAUGUAUACGGACUGACGCCUGCCCGGUGCUGGAAGGUUAAGAGGACCUGUUAGAUCUGUUUGGGUCGAAGCGGAGAAUUUAAGCCCCAGUAAACGGCGGUGGUAACUAUAACCAUCCUAAGGUAGCGAAAUUCCUUGUCGGGUAAGUUCCGACCUGCACGAAUGGCGUAACGACUUCCCUGCUGUCUCAACCACAGACUCGGCGAAAUUGCAGUACGAGUAAAGAUGCUCGUUACGCGCGGCAGGACGAAAAGACCCCGGGACCUUUACUAUAGCUUGGUAUUGGUGCUUGCUACGGUUUGUGUAGGAUAGGUGGGAGAUGUUGAUCGCAUGACGCUAGUUGUGUGGGAGUCGUAAUGUGAAAUACCACUCUGAUCGUAGUGGGUAUCUAACUUCGGCCCGUGAUCCGGGUCAGGGACAGUGCCUGGUGGGUAGUUUAACUGGGGCGGUUGCCUCCUAAAGAGUAACGGAGGCGCCCAAAGGUUUCCUCAGCCUGGUCUGUAAUCAGGUGGUGAGUGUAAGUGCACAAGGGAGCUUGACUGUGAGACUGACAGGUCGAGCAGGUACGAAAGUAGGGACUAGUGAUCCGGCACCGGCUUGUGGAAGCGGUGUCGCUCAACGGAUAAAAGGUACCCCGGGGAUAACAGGCUGAUCUUCCCCAAGAGUCCAUAUCGACGGGAUGGUUUGGCACCUCGAUGUCGGCUCGUCGCAUCCUGGGGCUGGAGUAGGUCCCAAGGGUUGGGCUGUUCGCCCAUUAAAGCGGCACGCGAGCUGGGUUUAGAACGUCGUGAGACAGUUCGGUCUCUAUCCGCCGCGCGCGUUGAAACGUGAGGAAGGCUGUCCCUAGUACGAGAGGACCGGGACGGACGUACCUCUGGUGUGCCAGUUGUUUCGCCAGGAGCAUUGCUGGUUGGCUACGUACGGGAGGGAUAACCGCUGAAAGCAUCUAAGCGGGAAGCCUGUUUCGAGAUAACGUUUCGUUUGAGGUGUCCGGGAGAUGACCGGGUUGAUAGGCCAGGGUUGUAAGCGCUGUGAGGUGUUGAGAUGACUGGUACUAAUUCACCGAUACCAAACACAA